GAUGAACGCUGGCGGCGUGCCUAAUACAUGCAAGUCGAGCGAACAGACGAGGAGCUUGCUCCUCUGACGUUAGCGGCGGACGGGUGAGUAACACGUGGAUAACCUACUUAUAAGACUGGGAUAACUUCGGGAAACCGGAGCUAAUACCGGAUAAUAUAUUGAACCGCAUGGUUCAAUAGUGAAAGACGGUUUUGCUGUCACUUAUGGAUGGAUCCGCGCCGCAUUAGCUAGUUGGUAAGGUAACGGCUUACCAAGGCGACGAUGCGUAGCCGACCUGAGAGGGUGAUCGGCCACACUGGAACUGAGACACGGUCCAGACUCCUACGGGAGGCAGCAGUAGGGAAUCUUCCGCAAUGGGCGAAAGCCUGACGGAGCAACGCCGCGUGAGUGAUGAAGGUCUUCGGAUCGUAAAACUCUGUUAUUAGGGAAGAACAAAUGUGUAAGUAACUAUGCACGUCUUGACGGUACCUAAUCAGAAAGCCACGGCUAACUACGUG
Molecule: ribosomal RNA, 497 nt
Filed under: uncultured bacterium
Lineage: Bacteria
Description: partial 16S ribosomal RNA
Rfam family: Bacterial small subunit ribosomal RNA
Source: RNAcentral